GAUGAACGCUGGCGGCGUGCCUAAUACAUGCAAGUCGAGCGAACGGACGAGAAGCUUGCUUUUCUGAUGUUAGCGGCGGACGGGUGAGUAACACGUGGAUAACCUACCUAUAAGACUGGGAUAACUUCGGGAAACCGGAGCUAAUACCGGAUAAUAUUUUGAACCGCAUGGUUCAAAAGUGAAAGACGGUCUUGCUGUCACUUAUAGAUGGAUCCGCGCUGCAUUAGCUAGUUGGUAAGGUAACGGCUUACCAAGGCAACGAUGCAUAGCCGACCUGAGAGGGGGGUCGGCCACACGGGAACUGAGACACGGUCCAGACUCCUAAGGGAGGCAGCAGUAGGGAAUCUUCCGCAAUGGGCGAAAGCCUGACGGAGCAACGCCGCGUGAGUGAUGAAGGUCUUCGGAUCGUAAAACUCUGUUAUUAGGGAAGAACAUAUGUGUAAGUAACUGUGCACAUCUUGACGGUACCUAAUCAGAAAGCCACGGCUAACUACGUG
RNAcentral lists this ribosomal RNA (497 nucleotides) under uncultured bacterium. RNAcentral's name for it is "partial 16S ribosomal RNA". It matches the Rfam family "Bacterial small subunit ribosomal RNA", at positions 28 to 507 of the family's 1533-position model. The record is from RNAcentral.